AAGAAACGCGACAAAUUCCCCUGAAAUCGCACAAUUCUCAGAACCCCCAACAACCCAGCGAAAAAUAGACGCGAUCUCUCCCCCCAUCGCAUCUCUCCCCACGCUCUCUCACUCUCUCCUCCGCGAUCUCUCACCCGCGUCUUUCUCCCCACGCUCUUCUCCCUUCCACCCUCCUCUUCGCAUGAACAAGACGGAAGCGCAGAGACCCAUACCUGCCCCUGUCAAGCAGGUCUGCGAAACGUCGCAAUCAUCCUCGCCGGCACGCGAUUGCCAUGUGAGGUUUGACUCAAAGUGAAUUUGAAAUUUUUUGAAUUCAAGAAGGGGCUAAUUCUUCUCCUCUAUAAAUACCCCAUUUCUUCGUCAGAGAAGGGGGGAGAUUUUCAUCGAAAAAUUCGGAAAAAAAAGCAGAAUUUGGGUUGGAUAUUUUUGGAAAUUUAGUCGAAAGUUUAAGUUGAAUCGUUGGUUGAAACUUUGUUAACAUUUUAGCAUAAGAACAGUCCAGUUCUUCAGCUUUCCUUACGCACUUCGGAAGAGUUGAUCGAUCCAUCGGCUUCCUUCCCUCGCUUGGGUGUUCGAGUUGUCAUUCGUGGCAGAAGCAGUUCGCACCUGCUCGUAGCGUCUCAAUUCGCUGCUCGUCGACAGGAAGUUCCUCAACUGGUACAUCAACUAAGGUAGUGGACUGGAGUGUAGUAUUGUUAAGUUGAUGGUCAACUGGUACAUCAACUAAAGUUGUUGUUUGAUGAUGAUCAUUGGUUGCACCUGUAAGAGCAACAUGUUCCUCACUGUUGUUGGCAGAUUCAAAAUCUACAGCUGGACUUUCAAUAUUACUAUAUGGAUCAUCGACCUCAACCUGUUUCUUAGUAUUUGAUUUUGCGCCUAAGAGGUCAAUAAUACUCUCAUCAUCAAUGAGUACAUGAGGUGUAGCAGCAUUAUAACUAGUAAUAUGUGGGCUAACAGUCUGUACUUUUCCUAAAUCAUAAUUAUCAUGUGCCUAAAGUCUAGAGAAAGAUUCAACAAAAGUAGCAAGGUGAGGUGAGACAUCAAUGUUAGUCUGAGAAUAUUUUUGAGACACAUAGGGUAAUGUGUUUUCAUCAACCAAAACAUGUCUAAAUAUGUAAACUCUCCUUGUAGAGGAAUGAUAGCAUUUAUAUCCUUUGUGUAAGCUGUUGUACCCAAUGAACUCACAAGGAUAGGUCUUAGGACUAAACUUAUUGUUACCCUUGAUAUAUGAAAAACAUCUAUACCCGAACACUUUUAGACUGUUGUAA
Non-coding RNA from Solanum lycopersicum (tomato), 1268 nucleotides. Lineage: Eukaryota; Viridiplantae; Streptophyta; Magnoliopsida; Solanales; Solanaceae. The record is from RefSeq and is a predicted model, not a curated record.